RNAcentral lists this ribosomal RNA (518 nucleotides) under Pseudoeurycea altamontana (Morelos false brook salamander). Its description in RNAcentral is "partial 16S ribosomal RNA". It matches the Rfam family "Bacterial large subunit ribosomal RNA", at positions 1817 to 2597 of the family's 2925-position model. The record is from RNAcentral. Lineage: Eukaryota; Metazoa; Chordata; Amphibia; Caudata; Plethodontidae.
CGCCUUUUGAACUAUAAACAUAAAAGGUCCUGCCUGCCCAGUGACAAUUGUUUCAACGGCCGCGGUAUCAUGACCGUGCAAAGGUAGCGUAAUCACUUGUCUUUUAAAUAAAGACCAGUAUGAAUGGCAAGACGAAAGCCUAACUGUCUCCUUAAGCUAAUCAAUGAAAUUGAUCUUCCCGUGCAGAAGCGGGAAUAAUAAUAUAAGACGAGAAGACCCUGUGGAGCUUCAAAAUUAAGCUAACAGAUCAUAAUGCUUUAGUAUACAGUUUUGGGUUGGGGCGACCAUGAGGUAAAACACAACCCUCGAGACGAAAACUAAGAAGGACACUUCAAAUAAAUAACAAUAUAGUAAUUGACCCAAUAAUUGAUCAACGAACCAAGUUACCCCAGGGAUAACAGCGCAAUCUACUCAAAGAGCCCUUAUCGACGAGCAGGUUUACGACCUCGAUGUUGGAUCAGGACUUCCAAAUAAUGUAACAAUUAUUAAAGGUUCGUUUGUUCAACGAUUAAAGUCCU